Molecule: long non-coding RNA, 605 nt
Filed under: Danio rerio (zebrafish)
Lineage: Eukaryota; Metazoa; Chordata; Actinopteri; Cypriniformes; Danionidae
Description: lncRNA si:ch211-194p6.11 (ENSDARG00000105655.2)
Source: RNAcentral
AAUGUAGUCGGAGUGAAGCCACGGGCAGAGAAGUUGUGUGUUGCUAAUCAGCGUUGUUUGGUGGAUUUGUGCGUGUUUUAAACCAAACCACAUCUCUAUUCACCAUUGUGGAAUAAAGCAACAUAAUUUAAUUAUCCCGUCUCAUGCAUUCUAAUCGAUGCACCACAGUGAUCAUCACCUUUAAACUGGCAACUUAGUUGAAUACUUCUCAACACGGUGUGUCACACACGGGCCAUAUCUGGCCCACAUUUGGUAGGCCACAACUCCCACUACACCCGGGGUGUCACAGACGGGCCACAUCUGGCCCACAUACGGCAGGCCAGAACUCACACUACACCCAGGGUGUCACACAAGGGCCUCAUCUGGCCCACAUACAGCAGGCCAGAACUCACACUACACCCGGGGUGUCACACACGGGCCACAUCUGGCCCACAUGCGGCAGGCCACAACUCACACUACACCCGGUGUGUCACACACGGGCCACAUCUGGCCCACAUACAGCAGGCCACAACUCACACUACACCCGGGGUGUCACACACAGGCCACAUCUGGCCCACAUGCGGCAGGCCACAACUCACACUACACCCGGUGUGACACAUAUGGGC